Vicia faba (fava bean) is the source of this 222-nucleotide non-coding RNA. The record is from the annotation of a GenBank genome assembly. Lineage: Eukaryota; Viridiplantae; Streptophyta; Magnoliopsida; Fabales; Fabaceae.
AUGGGCCUAAGAGGGGGGUUCUAUCGCGGCCUAAUUCUCUUUGAUUCACCUCAAACUCAACUGGAAACAAAAAUUGAAAAGGAAAAAAGAUACGUACCAACCGGAGUAGCACCGACGGUUCUUCGAAUUGAUGAAGAUCGUAAGAAAACCAUAGAAGUUGCAAUUCAAAUUGCAGAAUUGGAAUUGACUAAAAUGAUAAUCGAAGAUUCGAUUCGGCUAUGA